GGAGAGUUGGCAGAGUGGUCGAAUGCGGUAGUCUUGAAAACUAUUGUGCAGCAAUGUACCGGGGGUUCGAAUCCCUCACUCUCCGCCA
Molecule: transfer RNA, 88 nt
Filed under: Flavobacteriales bacterium
Lineage: Bacteria; Pseudomonadati; Bacteroidota; Flavobacteriia; Flavobacteriales
Description: tRNA-Ser
Rfam family: tRNA
About the family: Transfer RNA (tRNA) molecules are approximately 80 nucleotides in length.
Source: RNAcentral